ACUGCCCAGUGAAUUAAACGGCCGCGGUAUCCUAACCGUGCAAAGGUAGCGUAAUCACUUGUCUUAUAAAUAAAGAMCSGUAUGAAUGGUUAAAUGAGUAUUUAACUGUCUCCUUUAACUAAUCAGUGAAACUGACCCCUCAGUACAAAUGCCGGAGAUAAAAACAUAAGACGAGAAGACCCUGUGGAGCUUUAAAUUUAAACAAGAUAUUUAAAUAWAUUUAUGACAAAAAUUUUUAGUUGRGGCGACUUUGGAGCAAAACUUAMCCUCCAAGAAAAGGUGCUACCUAAACUAGGCUAACCGGCCAAACAUCUAGACCCAGUAUUUUAUACUGAUUAAUGAACCGAGUUACCCCAGGGAUAACAGCGCCAUCUUCUUCAAGAGUUCCCAUCGACAAGAAGGUUUACGACCUCGAUGUUGGAUCAGGACACCCAAAUGGUGCAGCCGCUAUUAAAGGUUCGUUUGUUCAACGAUUAAUGUCCUACGUGAUCUGA
RNAcentral lists this ribosomal RNA (494 nucleotides) under Anolis leditzigorum. Its description in RNAcentral is "partial 16S ribosomal RNA". It matches the Rfam family "Bacterial large subunit ribosomal RNA", at positions 1858 to 2608 of the family's 2925-position model. Lineage: Eukaryota; Metazoa; Chordata; Lepidosauria; Squamata; Anolidae. The record is from RNAcentral.